UCCCACGGACUCAUCUGGUGGCCUUUUGG
This 29-nucleotide non-coding RNA is filed under the name Rattus norvegicus (Norway rat). The record is from RNAcentral. Lineage: Eukaryota; Metazoa; Chordata; Mammalia; Rodentia; Muridae.